UGGGGAAUUUUGGACAAUGGGCGAAAGCCUGAUCCAGCAAUGCCGCGUGUGUGAAGAAGGCCUUCGGGUUGUAAAGCACUUUUGUCCGGAAAGAAAUCCUUGGCUCUAAUACAGUCGGGGGAUGACGGUACCGGAAGAAUAAGCACCGGCUAACUACGUGCCAGCAGCCGCGGUAAUACGUAGGGUGCAAGCGUUAAUCGGAANUUACUGGGCGUAAAGCGUGCGCAGGCGGUUUGCUAAGACCGAUGUGAAAUCCCCGGGCUCAACCUGGGAACUGCAUUGGUGACUGGCAGGCUAGAGUAUGGCAGAGGGGGGUAGAAUUCCGACGUGUAGCAGUGAAAUGCGUAGAGAUGUGGAGGAAUACCGAUGGCGAAGGCAGCCCCCUGGGCCAAUACUGACGCUCAUGCACGAAAGCGUGGGGAGCAAACAGGAUUAGAUACCCUGGUAGUCCACGCCCUAAACGAUGUCAACUAGUUGUU
Molecule: ribosomal RNA, 479 nt
Filed under: uncultured bacterium
Lineage: Bacteria
Description: partial 16S ribosomal RNA
Rfam family: Bacterial small subunit ribosomal RNA
Source: RNAcentral